AGCUCAGUGGAUAGAGCUCCCGCUUCAUGAACGGGAGGUCGCGGGUUCGAACCCCGGC
Non-coding RNA from Strongylocentrotus purpuratus (purple sea urchin), 58 nucleotides. Lineage: Eukaryota; Metazoa; Echinodermata; Echinoidea; Camarodonta; Strongylocentrotidae. The record is from Rfam.